This 253-nucleotide ribosomal RNA is filed under the name uncultured bacterium. Its description in RNAcentral is "partial 16S ribosomal RNA". It matches the Rfam family "Bacterial small subunit ribosomal RNA", at positions 524 to 776 of the family's 1533-position model. The record is from RNAcentral.
UACGGGGGGAGCAAGCGUUGCUCGGAAUCACUGGGCGUAAAGCGCGCGUAGGUGGCUUCGUAAGUCCGUUGUGAAAGUCAAAGGCUCAACCUUUGAAAGCCGAUGGAUACUGCGAAGCUAGAGUACGGAAGAGGCGAGUGGAAUUCCUGGUGUAGCGGUGGAAUGCGCAGAUAUCAGGAGGAACACCAAUAGCGAAGGCAGCUCGCUGGGACGUUACUGACACUGAGGCGCGAAAGCGUGGGGAGCGAACAGG